UGCGGCUUUGUCGAGCGCUGAUGGCGGGUA
Molecule: small RNA, 30 nt
Filed under: Bombyx mori (domestic silkworm)
Lineage: Eukaryota; Metazoa; Arthropoda; Insecta; Lepidoptera; Bombycidae
Description: ovarian small RNA-33982
Source: RNAcentral